AUUGAACGCUGGCGGCAGGCCUAACACAUGCAAGUCGAGCGGAUGAAGGGAGCUUGCUCCUGUAUUCAGCGGCGGACGGGUGAGUAAUGCCUAGGAAUCUGCCUGGUAGUGGGGGAUAACGUCCGGACACGGGCGCUAAUACCGCAUACGUCCUGAGGGAGAAAGUGGGGGAUCUUCGGACCUCACGCUAUCAGAUGAGCCUAGGUCGGAUUAGCUAGUUGGUGGGGUAAAGGCCUACCAAGGCGACGAUCCGUAACUGGUCUGAGAGGAUGAUCAGUCACACUGGAACUGAGACACGGUCCAGACUCCUACGGGAGGCAGCAGUGGGGAAUAUUGGACAAUGGGCGAAAGCCUGAUCCAGCCAUGCCGCGUGUGUGAAGAAGGUCUUCGGAUUGUAAAGCACUUUAAGUUGGGAGGAAGGGGAGUAAGUUAAUACCUGGCUGUUUUGACGUUACCAACAGAAUAAGCACCGGCUAACUUCGUG
Molecule: ribosomal RNA, 484 nt
Filed under: uncultured bacterium
Lineage: Bacteria
Description: partial 16S ribosomal RNA
Rfam family: Bacterial small subunit ribosomal RNA
Source: RNAcentral